GGUUAAGCGAAUAAGCGUACACGGUGGAUGCCUAGGCAAUCAGAGGCGAUGAAGGACGUGCUAAUCUGCGAUAAGCGUCGGUAAGGUGAUAUGAACCGUUAUACCCGACGAUUUCCGAAUGGGGAAACCCAAUAUCCAAUGGAUAUUAUCAUUAACUGAAUACAUAGGUUAAUGAAGCGAACCGGGAGAACUGAAACAUCUCAGUACCCCGAGGAAAAGAAAUCAACCGAGAUUCCCCUAGUAGCGGCGAGCGAACGGGGAACAGCCCAGAGUCUUAAUCAACAGCAGCAUCAGGAGAACGGUCUGGAAAGUCCGGCAGUAAAGGGUGAUAGCCCCGUAUCUGAAGAUGCUGUUAUUGUGAACUCGACGAGUAGGGCGGGACACGUGUUAUCCUGUCUGAAUAUGGGGGGACCAUCCUCCAAGGCUAAAUACUCCUGAUUGACCGAUAGUGAACCAGUACCGUGAGGGAAAGGCGAAAAGAACCCCGGCGAGGGGAGUGAAAAAGAACCUGAAACCGUGUACGUACAAGCAGUAGGAGCCUCUUUAUGGGGUGACUGCGUACCUUUUGUAUAAUGGGUCAGCGACUUAUAUUCUGUAGCAAGGUUAACCGAAUAGGGGAGCCGUAGGGAAACCGAGUCUUAACUGGGCGAAUGAGUUGCAGGGUAUAGACCCGAAACCCGGUGAUCUAUCCAUGGGCAGGUUGAAGGUUGGGUAACACUAACUGGAGGACCGAACCGACUAAUGUUGAAAAAUUAGCGGAUGACUUGUGGAUGGGGGUGAAAGGCCAAUCAAACCGGGAGAUAGCUGGUUCUCCCCGAAAGCUAUUUAGGUAGCGCCUCGUGAACUCAUCUUCGGGGGUAGAGCACUGUUUCGACUAGGGGGUCAUCCCGACUUACCAACUCGAUGCAAACUGCGAAUACCGAAGAAUGUUAUCACGGGAGACACACGGCGGGUGCUAACGUCCGUCGUGAAGAGGGAAACAACCCAGACCGCCAGCUAAGGUCCCAAAGUCAUGGUUAAGUGGGAAACGAAGUGGGAAGGCUCAGACAGCCAGGAUGUUGGCUUAGAAGCAGCCAUCAUUUAAAGAAAGCGUAAUAGCUCACUGGUCGAGUCGGCCCGCGCGGAAGAUGUAACGGGGCUAAACCAUGCACCGAAGCUGCGGCAGCGACACUUAGGUGUUGUUGGGUAGGGGAGCGUUCUGUAAGCCUGCGAAGGUGUACUGUGAGGUAUGCUGGAGGUAUCAGAAGUGCGAAUGCUGACAUAAGUAACGAUAAUGCGGGUGAAAAACCCGCACGCCGGAAGACCAAGGGUUCCUGUCCAACGUUAAUCGGGGCAGGGUGAGUCGACCCCUAAGGCGAGGCUGAAAAGCGUAGUCGAUGGGAAACGGGUUAAUAUUCCCGUACUGGUGGUAACUGCGAUGGGGGAACGGAGAAGGCUAGGUUGUCCGGGCGACGGUCGUCCCGGUUCAAGCAUGUAGGCAGAGUGAUUAGGCAAAUCCGGUCACUUAAUGCUGAGGUGUGAUGACGAGCCACUAAGGUGGUGAAGCAAUUGAUGCCCUGCUUCCAGGAAAAGCCUCUAAGCUUCAGGUUACCAACAAUCGUACCCCAAACCGACACAGGUGGUCAGGUAGAGAAUACUCAGGCGCUUGAGAGAACUCGGGUGAAGGAACUAGGCAAAAUGGUGCCGUAACUUCGGGAGAAGGCACGCUGGCGGUAAGUGAAGUCCCUUGCGGACGGAGCCGAAGCCAGUCGAAGAUACCAGCUGGCUGCAACUGUUUAUUAAAAACACAGCACUGUGCAAACACGAAAGUGGACGUAUACGGUGUGACGCCUGCCCGGUGCUGGAAGGUUAAUUGAUGGGGUUAUCCUUAGGGAGAAGCUCUUGAUCGAAGCCCCAGUAAACGGCGGCCGUAACUAUAACGGUCCUAAGGUAGCGAAAUUCCUUGUCGGGUAAGUUCCGACCUGCACGAAUGGCGUAAUGAUGGCCAGGCUGUCUCCACCCGAGACUCAGUGAAAUUGAACUCGCUGUGAAGAUGCAGUGUACCCGCGGCAAGACGGAAAGACCCCGUGAACCUUUACUAUAGCUUGACACUGAACAUUGAGCCUUGAUGUGUAGGAUAGGUGGGAGACUUAGAAGUGUGGACGCCAGUCUGCAUGGAGUCAACCUUGAAAUACCACCCUUUAACGUUUGAUGUUCUAACCUAGGCCCGUAAUCCGGGUCGGGGACCGUGUCUGGUGGGUAGUUUGACUGGGGCGGUCUCCUCCUAAAGAGUAACGGAGGAGCACGAAGGUUGGCUAAGCAUGGUCGGACAUCAUGCGGUUAGUGCAAAGGCAUAAGCCAGCUUGACUGUGAGAGUGACGGCUCGAGCAGGUACGAAAGUAGGUCUUAGUGAUCCGGUGGUUCUGAAUGGAAGGGCCAUCGCUCAACGGAUAAAAGGUACUCCGGGGAUAACAGGCUGAUACCGCCCAAGAGUUCAUAUCGACGGCGGUGUUUGGCACCUCGAUGUCGGCUCAUCACAUCCUGGGGCUGAAGUAGGUCCCAAGGGUAUGGCUGUUCGCCAUUUAAAGUGGUACGCGAGCUGGGUUUAGAACGUCGUGAGACAGUUCGGUCCCUAUCUGCCGUGGGCGUUGGAAGAUUGAGAGGGGUUGCUCCUAGUACGAGAGGACCGGAGUGAACGCACCACUGGUGUUCGGGUUGUCAUGCCAAUGGCAUUGCCCGGUAGCUAAGUGCGGAAGAGAUAACCGCUGAAAGCAUCUAAGCGGGAAACUUGCCUCGAGAUGAGUCUUCCCUGUCACCUAGAGUGACCUAAAGGAACGUUUAAGACUAAGACGUUGAUAGGCUGGGUGUGUAAGCGUAGCGAUACGUUGAGCUAACCAGUACUAAUGAACCGUGAGGCUUAACCUG
RNAcentral lists this ribosomal RNA (2904 nucleotides) under Proteus mirabilis. RNAcentral's name for it is "23S ribosomal RNA". It matches the Rfam family "Bacterial large subunit ribosomal RNA". Lineage: Bacteria; Pseudomonadati; Pseudomonadota; Gammaproteobacteria; Enterobacterales; Morganellaceae. The record is from RNAcentral.